GCGUGAGUGAUGAAGGCCUUAGGGUUGUAAAGCUCUUUCGACGGGGAAGAUGAUGACGGUACCCGUAGAAGAAGCCCCGGCUAACUUCGUGCCAGCAGCCGCGGUAAUACGAAGGGGGCUAGCGUUGUUCGGAUUUACUGGGCGUAAAGGGCGCGUAGGCGGUUUUGUAAGUCAGGCGUGAAAGCCCCGGGCUCAACCCGGGAAUUGCGCUUGAUACUGCGGAACUUGAAUCCAGGAGAGGAUGGCGGAAUUCCCAGUGUAGAGGUGAAAUUCGU
Molecule: ribosomal RNA, 275 nt
Filed under: uncultured bacterium
Lineage: Bacteria
Description: partial 16S ribosomal RNA
Rfam family: Bacterial small subunit ribosomal RNA
Source: RNAcentral